UUCUCUGUGCCCCCUCCCGCGGCGUUCGCGAACUUCUCCUCUGGUCGUGCGAUUACCGCAGCGCGACGCACCGACCCGCCUGCCUGUCUCUCUCUCCGCGUGGCGCAGUUUUAAAGCCCGGGGACCGUCGGCCGUUUAAAGAGCGGCACCGCCGGCUGCCGGUCAUUCCCUUUUGUUUUUUCGCCUUCCUUUCCUCUCCAGUCGCAUUUUUCUUUGUUUGCCCUCUUCCACACCGUAAGCGCUCGUCAGCGAAAUGGUAGAGGGCGAGAAAGCGCGCGCGGGGCGAGGCAAGUGUCAGCGAGUAAUGACGACAGCGGAAACAGAAAAGCCAGCUAGCGGCGGUGGCUCCAUAUGGCAGCCAGUAGGUAGGCGUGCACGCUAUCGCACGGUGCAGUGAGUGAGUGAGUGCUGUGUGGUGUGGUGAGCAGUGUCGUGCCGUGCUGUGCGCCGCUCCCCGACCGUCACACGACUCGUCGUUCGCCGAUUUAAAGGAACGCCGUCGAGGAAAGGGCGAGGGGACACGUGUGUGGGAAUGGUGGCCACUGCUUGUGCAUCUUGACGCGAGUGCGUGUGACGCGCCCCCGGCCCUGCGGAACUGGUUGACCACAGGAGCCAUAAAACUUCGUCGGACGCGGUGACGCCGCCACCUUCUGUGGUAUGAGAAAGCCGUCGCUGCCAACACAGCUCUCCAUGUAAGUAGCUAACUUGAGUAGCUUCUUAACGUUCUAGGAGACAGUACGACCUUAGAAACCACGUGCUUCACAUUUUAUAAGAGUCCAGUCUUUUGAGAAGGAAACAUAGGGACUUUCAGACUGCAGAGCUGACACUUGAGACGCUAAGAACAAAAAAAAAAAAAAAAAAAAAAAAA
Schistocerca americana (American grasshopper) is the source of this 868-nucleotide long non-coding RNA. RefSeq lists it as uncharacterized. NCBI's taxonomy places the organism in Eukaryota, Metazoa, Arthropoda, Insecta, Orthoptera, Acrididae. The transcript is spliced from 4 exons. The record is from RefSeq and is a predicted model, not a curated record.